Molecule: ribosomal RNA, 253 nt
Filed under: uncultured bacterium
Lineage: Bacteria
Description: partial 16S ribosomal RNA
Rfam family: Bacterial small subunit ribosomal RNA
Source: RNAcentral
UACGAAGGGGGCGAGCGUUGUUCGGAAUCACUGGGCGUAAAGCGCACGUAGGCGGAUUUGUAAGUCAGGGGUGAAAUCCCGGGGCUCAACCUCGGAACUGCCUUUGAUACUGCGAAUCUUGAGUCCGAUAGAGGUGGGUGGAAUUCCUAGUGUAGAGGUGAAAUUCGUAGAUAUUAGGAAGAACACCAGUGGCGAAGGCGGCCCACUGGAUCGGUACUGACGCUGAGGUGCGAAAGCGUGGGGAGCAAACAGG